This 407-nucleotide ribosomal RNA is filed under the name uncultured bacterium. RNAcentral describes it as "partial 16S ribosomal RNA". It matches the Rfam family "Bacterial small subunit ribosomal RNA", at positions 28 to 526 of the family's 1533-position model. The record is from RNAcentral.
GACGAACGCUGGCGGCGUGCCUAAUACAUGCAAGUAGAACGCAGGUGCGAACGGUUGAGUAAGGCGGAGGUAACUGCCUUAAAGUGGGGGAUAAAUAUUGGAAACGCUAGCUAACACCGCAUACUUUGAGUUGGACUUGCGUUGUAUUAGCUAGUUGGUGAGGUAAAGGCUCACCAAGGCGACGAUACAUAGCCCACCUGAGAGGGGGAUCCGCCACCAGUGGGCUGGAGAACGGCCCAGACCUCCACGGGAGGGAGCAGGAGGGAAACUUCGGGAAAUGACGGAAGUCUGAACGGGCAACGCCCCGGGGGUGGAGAAGGUUUUCGGGUCGGAAAGCUCUGUUGUUAGGGAAGCGGUAUCUAACCAGAAAGCGACGGCUAACUACGUGCCAGCCGCCGCGGUAAUUC